Long non-coding RNA from Nicotiana attenuata, 430 nucleotides. RefSeq lists it as uncharacterized. The record is from RefSeq and is a predicted model, not a curated record. NCBI's taxonomy places the organism in Eukaryota, Viridiplantae, Streptophyta, Magnoliopsida, Solanales, Solanaceae. The transcript has 3 exons.
GAAGGCAAGAAUCGGAAAUCAAAGGUGAAAAAAAAAAAACCGUUUUCUAGGGCUCAUCAGUGAUGCCAUUGGAGUAGCAUUUAGUAGCACUAUGAUCGGACAUUAUCUUACCUUGAGGGUAUUAGUAGAAGAAAAUAUGAGGAUAAGCGGAGAACGACACAGAGUACUGUGGAGGGCAGUGGAAUUGCUUUAGCUAGUUGGAUGCCUAAAACAUGGGGAAGGACGCAAGAAAGAGAGAUGCUCCAUGACAAUGAUGAGACACUUUCGGGAACCUCAUGUAGAACAAAAGCAUUGUCUGAAGCUGCAGUGAAAUCCAAAUAUCAUCGAAAGAGUGCUGAAGUGAUUCGACUUCCUGAGAUUGUUCCAAGAGAUUCUAGUUACCAGAAGCCCUUUCCUCUUCUCCUGCAAAACCAGCAAAUAUUGAAGGUUU